This 506-nucleotide ribosomal RNA is filed under the name uncultured bacterium. RNAcentral's name for it is "bacterial SSU rRNA". It matches the Rfam family "Bacterial small subunit ribosomal RNA", at positions 28 to 527 of the family's 1533-position model. The record is from RNAcentral.
GACGAACGCUGGCGGCGUGGAUUAGGCAUGCAAGUCGAACGGUAUCAUCCUUUCGGGGGUGAGAGAGUGGCGAACUGGUGAGUAACACGUAGGUUAUCUACCCUCAAGACGGGGACAACCCAGGGAAACUUGGGCUAAUACCGGAUGUGAGCAACUUUUAGUUGUUUGAAAGGUGGCGUAAGCUGUCGCUUGGGGAUGAGCCUGCGUCCUAUUAGUUAGUUGGUGAGGUAACGGCUCACCUAGGCAAUGAUAGGUAGGCGGCCUUAACGGGUGGUCGCCCACACUGGGAUUGAGAUACGGCCCAGACUCCUACGGGAGGCAGCAGUCGAGAAUAGUCUACAAUGGUCGGAAGACUGAUAGUGCGACGCCGCGUGAACGAUGAAUCCCUUCGGGGUGUAAAGUCUUUUAUAUGUGAGCAGUGCUUCUUAUAUUAACAGUAUGGGGAAGAGAUAUUAGCAUAUGAAUAAGCAACGGCUAAACUCCGUGCCAGCAGCCGCGGUAAGACG